UACGUAGGGGGCAAGCGUUAUCCGGAUUUACUGGGUGUAAAGGGAGCGUAGACGGCGGUGCAAGCCAGAUGUGAAAGCCCGGGGCUCAACCCCGGGACUGCAUUUGGAACCGUGCUGCUAGAGUGUCGGAGAGGCAGGCGGAAUUCCUAGUGUAGCGGUGAAAUGCGUAGAUAUUAGGAGGAACACCAGUGGCGAAGGCGGCCUGCUGGACGAUGACUGACGUUGAGGCUCGAAAGCGUGGGGAGCAAACAGG
This 253-nucleotide ribosomal RNA is filed under the name uncultured bacterium. RNAcentral's name for it is "partial 16S ribosomal RNA". It matches the Rfam family "Bacterial small subunit ribosomal RNA", at positions 524 to 776 of the family's 1533-position model. The record is from RNAcentral.